UUUCCUACGGGAGGCAGCAGUGGGGAAUCUUGCACAAUGGGCGGAAGCCUGAUGCAGCAACGCCGCGUGCGGGAUGACGGCCUUCGGGUUGUAAACCGCUUUCGCCUGUGACGAAGCGUGAGUGACGGUAAUGGGUAAAGAAGCACCGGCUAACUACGUGCCAGCAGCCGCGGUGAUACGUAGGGUGCGAGCGUUGUCCGGAUUUACUGGGCGUAAAGGGCUCGUAGGUGGUUGAUCGCGUCGGAAGUGUAAUCUUGGGGCUUAACCCUGAGCGUGCUUUCGAUACGGGUUGACUUGAGGAAGGUAGGGGAGAAUGGAAUUCCUGGUGGAGCGGUGGAAUGCGCAGAUAUCAGGAGGAACACCAGUGGCGAAGGCGGUUCUCUGGGCCUUUCCUGACGCUGAGGAGCGAAAGCGUGGGGAGCGAACAGGCUUAGAUACCCUGGUAGUCCACGCUGUAAACGGUGGGUACUAGGUGUGGGGUCCAUUCCACGGGUUCCGUGCCGUAGCUAACGCUUUAAGUACCCCGCCUGGGGAGUACGGCCGCAAGGCUAAAACUCAAAGGAAUUGCGGGGCCCCGCACAAGCGGCGGAGCAUGCGGAUUAAUUCGAGCACUCCAGAACCUUACCUGGGUUUGACAUGGAUCGGGAGCGCUCAGAGAU
RNAcentral lists this ribosomal RNA (659 nucleotides) under uncultured Propionibacterium sp. RNAcentral describes it as "bacterial SSU rRNA". It matches the Rfam family "Bacterial small subunit ribosomal RNA", at positions 335 to 1007 of the family's 1533-position model. The record is from RNAcentral. Lineage: Bacteria; Bacillati; Actinomycetota; Actinomycetes; Propionibacteriales; Propionibacteriaceae.